Blastomyces gilchristii SLH14081 is the source of this 81-nucleotide non-coding RNA. NCBI's taxonomy places the organism in Eukaryota, Fungi, Ascomycota, Eurotiomycetes, Onygenales, Ajellomycetaceae. The record is from Rfam.
GCCAGCGUGGCUCAGUUGAUAAGACUGCUAAUCAAGACUACACACAUUAGAGAUGUGUGAGUUCGAAUCUCACCGCUGGUA